AAAAAAAAAGAGAGAGAGAGAGAUUGAACUCGAAUUUCUAAUCCAACUUCUAUCAUAAACAAAAAACAAAUUUCAUUUUUCUUCACUUCCCUCAAAACGAAGUUGACUUGGAUUUCAGUUUUCAGUGCAGAAAGUUAACAUUCCUACCUAUGUAUUUGGAAAGUCUAAAAAUCAAUUGAAUUUUUUAUUUUUAUCAAAUUUUCAUGUUUCAAAAUUGCUAAAAUCUAAUUCUAAAUCAUUUUGAAAGAAAUAAAUUCAUGCUAAAAGUGGCAUGAUUUUGCAAAAUUUAAUUUAUUGAACAUAAUUUUCUAUUAAAGAUUCAAACCAUCCAUAUUUCAAUUAUAUUUAUUUCUAUAUAAAUAAAAAUAAAAUAUGAAAAUAAAUACAUUCAUUUUACUUAUCAAUUGUUUCAAAAAAUAUAAUUCAAAUGAAUUCUAUCAUUUU
This 444-nucleotide unclassified non-coding RNA is filed under the name Hevea brasiliensis (rubber tree). The record is from RNAcentral. Lineage: Eukaryota; Viridiplantae; Streptophyta; Magnoliopsida; Malpighiales; Euphorbiaceae.